Molecule: ribosomal RNA, 1373 nt
Filed under: Arenicellales bacterium
Lineage: Bacteria; Pseudomonadati; Pseudomonadota; Gammaproteobacteria; Arenicellales
Description: partial 23S ribosomal RNA
Rfam family: Bacterial large subunit ribosomal RNA
Source: RNAcentral
AAUCAAGUGUCUAAGAGCAUAUGAUGGAUGCCUUGGCAUUGAGAGGCGAUGAAGGACGUAGCAGGCUGCGAUAAGCCACGGGGAGGCGCCAACACCCUUUGAUCCGUGGAUUUCCGAAUGGGGCAACCCACUUCUUUUUGAAGUAUUUUACACUGAAUACAUAGGUGUAAAAAGCAAACCUGGUGAACUGAAACAUCUCAGUAACCAGAGGAAAGGAUAUCAACAGAUACUCUGCUAGUAGCGGCGAGCGAACGCGGACCAGGCCAGUAACUAAAACUUAAUAAUCAAAAAUACCUGGAAAGGUAUACCAUAGACGGUGAUAGUCCGGUAUGAGUAAAAAGAGUUUUAGUUCUCGAGUAGGACGGGACACGUGAAAUCUUGUCUGAAUUUAGGGGGACCACCCUCUAAGCCUAAGUACUUCUCAAUGACCGAUAGUGAACAAGUACCGUGAGGGAAAGGUGAAAAAUACCCCCAUGAGGGGAGUGAAAUAGAUCUGAAAUUGUAUGCUUACAAGCAGUCGAAGGAGGUUUAUCCUCUGACGGCGUACCUUUUGUAUAAUGGGUCAGCGAGUUAAUUUAGAUAGCAAGCUUAAGCCGUUAGGUGUAGGCGCAGCGAAAGCAAGUUCGAAAGAGCGAUUAGUUAUUUGAAUUAGACCCGAAACCGAGUGAUCUAGCCAUGGGCAGGUUGAAGGUAAAGUAAAAUUUACUGGAGGACCGAACACACUAAUGUUGAAAAAUUAGGUGAUGACUUGUGGCUAGGAGUGAAAGGCUAAUCAAACUCGGAAAUAGCUGGUUCUCCGCGAAAUCUAUUUAGGUAGAGCGUCAAAUGUUUACUAACGGGGGUAGAGCACUGGAUGGGCUAGGGGGUUGCAAAACCUACCAAACCUAACCAAACUCCGAAUACCGUUAAGUAUAAUUUGGCAGACAGACUGUGGGUGCUAAGGUCCAUAGUCGAAAGGGAAACAGCCCAGAUCACAAGCUAAGGUCCCCAAGUAAUAACUAAGUGUAAAAGGAUGUAAAGUAGCCAAGACAGCCAGGAGGUUGGCUUAGAAGCAGCCACCCUUUAAAGAAAGCGUAACAGCUCACUGGUCUAGUUAAGCAACUUUGCGCCAAAGAUGUAACGGGGCUAAGUUAUUCACCGAAGCUGUGGAUUAAUAUUUUGUUCUCAAAAUAUUACUGGUAGCGGAGCGUUCCGUAAGUCUGUGAAGAUAAUUUGUAAGAAUUAUUGGAGAUAUCGGAAGUGAGAAUGCUGACAUGAGUAGCGAUAAACAGAGUGAGAAACUCUGUCGCCGAAAGUCCAAGGUUUCCUGCGCAAGGUUAAUCCGCGCAGGGUUAGUCGGCCCCUAAGGCGAGGACGAAAGUCGUAGUCGAUGG